CCUACGGGCGGCAGCAGUGGGGAAUAUUGGACAAUGGGGGGAACCCUGAUCCAGCCAUGCCGCGUGUGUGAAGAAGACCCUCGGGUUGUAAAGCACUUUCAGUGAGGAAGAACGCCUGGUGGUUAAUACCCAUCAGGAAAGACAUCACUCACAGAAGAAGCACCGGCUAACUCCGUGCCAGCAGCCGCGGUAAUACGGAGGGUGCGAGCGUUAAUCGGAAUUACUGGGCGUAAAGCGCGCGUAGGUGGCUUGAUAAGCCGGUUGUGAAAGCCCCGGGCUCAACCUGGGAACGGCAUCCGGAACUGUCAAGCUAGAGUGCAGGAGAGGAAGGUAGAAUUCCCGGUGUAGCGGUGAAAUGCGUAGAGAUCGGGAGGAAUACCAGUGGCGAAGGCGGCCUUCUGGACUGACACUGACACUGAGGUGCGAAAGCGUGGGUAGCAAACAGGAUUAGAUACCCGUGUAGUC
RNAcentral lists this ribosomal RNA (465 nucleotides) under Vreelandella stevensii. RNAcentral describes it as "partial 16S ribosomal RNA". It matches the Rfam family "Bacterial small subunit ribosomal RNA", at positions 338 to 795 of the family's 1533-position model. The record is from RNAcentral. Lineage: Bacteria; Pseudomonadati; Pseudomonadota; Gammaproteobacteria; Oceanospirillales; Halomonadaceae.